Cinara cedri is the source of this 226-nucleotide non-coding RNA. The record is from the annotation of a GenBank genome assembly. NCBI's taxonomy places the organism in Eukaryota, Metazoa, Arthropoda, Insecta, Hemiptera, Aphididae.
AAGCCCGUCGAGAAACGUGCGGAAAUCAAUCGUGUGAACGCGUCGCACAAACGCGAUUAGUCAUAAUAAUAAUAGUGUAACGUCAGGACGAGUCGGGGUGUCGGCGGCUUCGAUAACGUUCCGAUUCGCGAUUGUGUGUAAUUAUAGGGUUCAUAACGCGUGCCGCGCAACGCUGUUUACGGGUCCGGCCGUGGCGCUUUUUCCAGCGCGGCGGCGAGGGGAGGUC